CUUGACCUCAAAUCAGGUAGGACUACCCG
RNAcentral lists this non-coding RNA (29 nucleotides) under Drosophila melanogaster (fruit fly). The record is from RNAcentral. RNAcentral also lists the same sequence under 1 other name. Lineage: Eukaryota; Metazoa; Arthropoda; Insecta; Diptera; Drosophilidae.